This 1367-nucleotide long non-coding RNA is filed under the name Callithrix jacchus (white-tufted-ear marmoset). Its description in RNAcentral is "lncRNA (ENSCJAG00000070458.1)". Lineage: Eukaryota; Metazoa; Chordata; Mammalia; Primates; Cebidae. The record is from RNAcentral.
AUGACAGUGGGACCCCUCCAUGUUAGCACAUGCAGUGACAUCAGUGGCCGCAGCAGCAGUGUGUCACAGUGCAUGCUCAUUGGCUCUGCCAGGGUGCCUGCCUCCCUGCAGUGGCAGAGGCAGCAUGACUCAGAGCUGUUCUGCCGGGCAGGCCAGUGUCUGGUGUUAGUGACUGCUGUUCCUUCAGUGGCAAUAUCACUCCUCCCAUGGGCAUAACUUUGAGGCAAGGGAAGAGCCUGCUUCCUGACCUUAACCCAAGCCAGUGGCCUGCUCCCAUCUUUUCUUGCUACUUUCAGCUCUUUUCUUCAUGAGAAACCCAAUGUACAAAUGCAAGCUCUGCUGACAACUUCCCACACCUGCGUAUAGCUAGCGCCACUGCUCUGUAGACGUAUACAUACACAGGUGUUGUUAAUCAUUGGAAGGAGAACACCAAUGAAGAGAUUUUACAGUCUCUGCAAAGAGGCUUGGAGCUAUUUUGGCAGGGAUUUAUAAGAAUUCAGGUAUACUCAGCAUGAGAAUAUGGGAGAGGCACCAGGUCCAGAUGGGUACAUGCCUUACUCUUGGAGCUCCUUUAUCUUGUAAGAAGAAAACAGCUAGAAGAGAACCAGUUCGGAUGACAGAACCCAGAUGACAGCUCUGUUGAUCAAGUCUAAGGAGGCUACUGACUACAAGGCCAAGAGAACCAUACUGAAAACCCAAAUUUUGAUGCAGUGGAAAAUAGAAAGAGUAUCUUCUAUUUGUUUUCUACUGUCUGCUCGUUAUUCACAAACACUUAUUCACAGAAUUUAAACACUUAGCUGGUCAAUCACACUACAUUAAAUGAAUAGAAACUUUUGUAUAAAUAUAUGUAAAUAAUAGCAUCUUUCUUGAUUGCGCUGUUCAAAUAUCCUCUAUUUUUGCUGAUUUAUUUUCCUCUUUUUCUGUGAGACAGAGAUUUGGUUAAAAAUUUCUACUUCAAUUAUAGAUUUGUCAGUUUUCUUAAUACUGACAGUUUUUGUUUUAUAUAUUUUGAGUCUAAGUAUUAACUGUUAACACACUUAGAAUUAUUAUCAUAUCUUCCCAAGAACUGAGCAUUUUAUCAUAACAAAUAUCAUUCUUUAACUCUUUAUUUAAGUCCAUUUUGUCUGAUUUUUGUAUAACUAUACCUGGUUUCUUUUUGUUUUUGCUCUCUUGGUCAAACAUUGUCCAUUCUUUAAUUUUCAUGUUUUCUGUAUUCUUUUAUUUAAGGUAUGGCUCUUCUAUUCCACAUACACUUGUACUGAUUUUGCAAUCCUAACAAUCUAUAAUAUAUAUGAUUUUUAGAAUUUUUUCUAUUUACCUUCAAUUAAUAAUACAUCUGUUUUUGAAUUUACCUUUUUACUCUUUGC